UAGGGAAUCUUCCGCAAUGGACGCAAGUCUGACGGAGCAACGCCGCGUGAGUGAAGAAGGAUUUCGGUUCGUAAAACUCUGUUGUUAGAGAAGAACAGCGCAUAGAGUAACUGUUAUGCGUGUGACGGUAUCUAACCAGAAAGCCACGGCUAACUACGUGCCAGCAGCCGCGGUAAUACGUAGGUGGCAAGCGUUGUCCGGAUUUAUUGGGCGUAAAGCGAGCGCAGGCGGUUAGAAAAGUCUGAAGUGAAAGGCAGUGGCUCAACCAUUGUAGGCUUUGGAAACUGUUUAACUUGAGUGCAGAAGGGGAGAGUGGAAUUCCAUGUGUAGCGGUGAAAUGCGUAGAUAUAUGGAGGAACACCGGUAGCGAAAGCGGCUCUCUGGUCUGUAACUGACGCUGAGGCUCGAAAGCGUGGGGAGCGAACAGG
Molecule: ribosomal RNA, 428 nt
Filed under: Bacteroidota bacterium
Lineage: Bacteria; Pseudomonadati; Bacteroidota
Description: Bacteroidetes bacterium partial 16S ribosomal RNA
Rfam family: Bacterial small subunit ribosomal RNA
Source: RNAcentral